AGCGAACGCUGGCGGCAGGCUUAACACAUGCAAGUCGAGCGGGCACUUUCGGGUGUCAGCGGCGGACGGGUGAGUAACGCGUGGGAACGUGCCCUCUGGUUCGGAAUAACUCAGGGAAACUUGAGCUAAUACCGGAUACGCCCUUUUGGGGAAAGGCUUGCUGCCGGAGGAUCGGCCCGCGUCUGAUUAGCUAGUUGGUGAGGUAACGGCUCACCAAGGCGACGAUCAGUAGCCGGUCUGAGAGGAUGAUCAGCCACACUGGGACUGAGACCCGGCCCAGACUCCUACGGGAGGCAGCAGUGGGGAAUAUUGGACAAUGGGCGCAAGCCUGAUCCAGCCAUGCCGCGUGAGUGAUGAAGGCCUUAGGGUUGUAAAGCUCUUUUAUCCGGGACGAUAAUGACGGUACCGGAGGAAUAAGCCCCGGCUAACUUCGUG
RNAcentral lists this ribosomal RNA (435 nucleotides) under uncultured bacterium. RNAcentral describes it as "partial 16S ribosomal RNA". It matches the Rfam family "Bacterial small subunit ribosomal RNA", at positions 29 to 507 of the family's 1533-position model. The record is from RNAcentral.